AUGACCCGGAUGCCGGAUGGCCCCUGGUGCUAGUCUUAUCAGUAUGGAGCUCUGGUUCCUACCGCCUAUACUGCAAACCCCAGUUUUCCUGUUGGCCCGAAAACACCCCAUGCAGAGGCACCACGCUAGAGUGCUUCGCCCAGAGGCUUGCCCAGAGUCUGAAAUCAGUACCACUGCAUGGAAAUCAACAUGUUAGCUGGACCUUGCUCCCUUCAGAGGCUGUAUGGGAGAAUCAUUCCUACCUCUCCCGGCUCCUGGUGUCUGCUGGGAUUCCUUGGCUUGUAGCUGCGUCACUCUAAACAUUCAGGACUGAUGAACUGCCUUCCAAAGCGGCUGCACUAUUUUACAUCCCCACCAGCAAUGAAUGAGAGUUCUUGUUGCUCCACACCUUCAUCACAAUUUGGUGUCAGUGUUCCAGAUUUUGAUCAUCCUAAUAGUAAUCUACUCUAAUAAGAAAGACAAAAAUAAGAAAACAAGGUGACACUAUGGAUUUUAUUGAGGAAGCAAGAAAUAAAGACUCCAGAGUUUGCCUGAGAAAAGCAUAAAUUUAACCCCAAAUACUAUCCUUUCAUCUUGCAGAUAUGUACAGUAAAACACAAUUGUCAACAUGAGUAUCCUGGAAAGUAAAGUUAAACACACACACACACACACACACACACACAGUCCUGAGUUAUCAAAGAUAAAAAUCAAUUUUGAUCACCACGUUCUAGGAAUAAAGCCCAGAAAUUCAACACAAACUGCUUGAAAUAAAAGAAAGACUGUUGUCAGUCAGUGAAAGAAUU
This is a long non-coding RNA of Felis catus (domestic cat), 782 nucleotides long. RefSeq lists it as uncharacterized. NCBI's taxonomy places the organism in Eukaryota, Metazoa, Chordata, Mammalia, Carnivora, Felidae. The transcript is spliced from 4 exons. The record is from RefSeq and is a predicted model, not a curated record.